GAUGAACGCUGGCGGCGUGCCUAAUACAUGCAAGUCGAGCGAACGGACGAGAAGCUUGCUUCUCUGAUGUUAGCGGCGGACGGGUGAGUAAAACGUGGAUAACCUACCUAUAAGACUGGGAUAACUUCGGGAAACCGGAGCUAAUACCGGAUAAUAUUUUGAACCGCAUGGUUCAAAAGUGAAAGACGGUCUUGCUGUCACUUAUAGAUGGAUCCGCGCUGCAUUAGCUAGUUGGUAAGGUAACGGCUUACCAAGGCAACGAUGCAUAGCCGACCUGAGAGGGUGAUCGGCCACACUGGAACUGAGACACGGUCCAGACUCCUACGGGAGGCAGCAGUAGGGAAUCUUCCGCAAUGGGCGAAAGCCUGACGGAGCAACGCCGCGUGAGUGAUGAAGGUCUUCGGAUCGUAAAACUCUGUUAUUAGGGAAGAACAUAUGUGUAAGGAACUGUGCACAUCUUGACGGUACCUAAUCAGAAAGCCACGGCUAACUACGUG
Molecule: ribosomal RNA, 497 nt
Filed under: uncultured bacterium
Lineage: Bacteria
Description: partial 16S ribosomal RNA
Rfam family: Bacterial small subunit ribosomal RNA
Source: RNAcentral